RNAcentral lists this ribosomal RNA (1035 nucleotides) under Triticum aestivum (bread wheat). RNAcentral describes it as "partial small subunit ribosomal RNA". The record is from RNAcentral. Lineage: Eukaryota; Viridiplantae; Streptophyta; Magnoliopsida; Poales; Poaceae.
AUGGACGGCUUUAGUUCCCCCGCCAUGGCACCCACAGUCCGCAAACCAGCGGCCCACCCGGCCGUCCUCGUCCUCCGCCGGCUGGACGCGCCGUUCGCCGCCGCGCUGCACGAGCACUUCCUCCUCCUGGACUUCCACGCGUCCGGCGAGCCCCUCCCGGCUUUUCUAGCCGCGGCAGCGGCAGCCCCCGAGCCCCCGCGCGCCGUGCUGGUGGUGGGCGGCGGAGCCAUACGCGUGGACGCCCCGUUCCUCGACGUCGUCCAGUCCGUCCGGUGCGUUGUCACCACGGGCACCGGCGUCGACCACAUCGACCUGGCCGAGUGCGCGCGCCGCGGCGUGGCCGUCGCCAACGCCGGGAAGGUCUACUCCACCGACGUGGCGGACCACGCCGUGGGCCUGCUGCUCGACGUGCAGCGGCGCGUGUCGGCGGCGGAGCGGUACGUCAGGCGCGGGUCCUGGCCGGCCCAGGGCGACUACCGGCCACUCGGCUCCAAGCUCGGCGGCAAGCGCGUCGGCAUCAUCGGCCUGGGCAACAUCGGCUCGCUCGUCGCGAGGCGGCUCGAAGCCUUCGGCUGCGUCAUCCUGUACAACUCGAGGAGGCGCAAGGAGGAGGGCUCGUCCCGCCGCUACACCUACUUCCCGGACGUCCGGGGCCUCGCCGCCGCGUCCGACGUGCUCGUCGUUGCCUGCGCGCUGAACGAGGAGACGAGGCACGUCGUGGGCAGGAAGGUGCUGGAUGCCCUGGGGAAGGACGGCGUGCUCAUCAACGUCGGCCGAGGGGCGAAUGUCGACGAGGCGGCGCUGGUGGCGGCGCUCAAGGAGGGGAGGAUCGCCGGCGCCGGCCUCGACGUCUUCGAGGACGAGCCGAAGGUGCCGGCGGAGCUCCUGCCCAUGGACAAUGUGGUGCUGACCCCUCACGUGGCGGUUCUGACGCAGGAAUCCAGGUCGGACCUGCGCGCGCAGACCAUCGGCAACCUCCAGGCCUUCUUCUCCGGCCAGCCAUUGCUCACUCCCGUGCCCUGCCAUCGUGCCUAA